RNAcentral lists this ribosomal RNA (253 nucleotides) under uncultured archaeon. Its description in RNAcentral is "partial 16S ribosomal RNA". It matches the Rfam family "Archaeal small subunit ribosomal RNA", at positions 474 to 727 of the family's 1478-position model. The record is from RNAcentral.
AACCUGCAGCCCAAGUGGUGACUGUUAUUAUUGGGCCUAAAACGUCCGUAGCCGGCCCUGUAAAUGCUUGGGUAAAUCGUCUCGCUUAACGAUACGAAUUCCGAGUAGACUGCAGGGCUUGAGAUCGGGAGAAGAUAGAGGUACUCCUGGGGUAGAGGUGAAAUUCUGUAAUCCUAGGGGGACCACCAGUGGCGAACGCGUCGAUCUAGACCGAGUCUGACGGUCAGGGCCGAAGCCCUGGGGCGCAAACGGG